This 153-nucleotide ribosomal RNA is filed under the name Pseudoarmillariella bacillaris. Its description in RNAcentral is "5.8S ribosomal RNA". It matches the Rfam family "5.8S ribosomal RNA". From Rfam's summary of the family: 5.8S ribosomal RNA (5.8S rRNA) is a component of the large subunit of the eukaryotic ribosome. It is transcribed by RNA polymerase I as part of the 45S precursor that also contains 18S and 28S rRNA. Functionally, it is thought that 5.8S rRNA may be involved in ribosome translocation. Lineage: Eukaryota; Fungi; Basidiomycota; Agaricomycetes; Agaricales; Tricholomataceae. The record is from RNAcentral.
AACUUUCAACAACGGAUCUCUUGGCUCUCGCAUCGAUGAAGAACGCAGCGAAAUGCGAUAAGUAAUGUGAAUUGCAGAUUUCAGUGAAUCAUCGAAUCUUUGAACGCACCUUGCGCCCCUUGGUAUUCCGAGGGGCAUGCCUGUUUGAGUGUC